UACGUAGGUGGCAAGCGUUGUCCGGAUUUAUUGGGUUUAAAGGGUGCGUAGGCGGUCUUAUAAGUCAGUGGUGAAAUACGGCAGCUCAACUGUCGAGGUGCCAUUGAUACUGUAGGACUUGAGUACAGACGAGGUAGGGCGGAAUUGACGGUGUAGCGGUGAAAUGCUUAGAUAUCGUCAAGAACACCGAUAGCGAAGGCAGCUUACUAGGCUGUAACUGACGCUGAGGCACGAAAGUGUGGGGAUCAAACAGG
Molecule: ribosomal RNA, 254 nt
Filed under: uncultured bacterium
Lineage: Bacteria
Description: partial 16S ribosomal RNA
Rfam family: Bacterial small subunit ribosomal RNA
Source: RNAcentral